Polypterus senegalus (gray bichir) is the source of this 443-nucleotide long non-coding RNA. RefSeq lists it as uncharacterized. The transcript has 3 exons. NCBI's taxonomy places the organism in Eukaryota, Metazoa, Chordata, Cladistia, Polypteriformes, Polypteridae. The record is from RefSeq and is a predicted model, not a curated record.
AAACACCAUGUGGACUUUGGUGUGAAGCAAUAACAAAUUGUCAAAAUAUUUCUGCAUGUCGUGCAAGCUGGACCUUACAGUAUCACCCGACUCUAAAAGAACUGCUGGACUAUGUACUUGACACUGAGAGACCAGGAACAGAACUUAUUGUUGGAACCACAAAAGCAUGUCUUACUCGUGCUGACUUUAGGAGCCUGGGCCCGUACAAAGUUUUUUACAGGUCCUGACGAACAUUGAGAAGAUCAUCGGGGAGUUGGGAGCAGCAGCCAAAGCGCCGUUGGAGAAGGUUUACACGGGAGUGUCAGCUGCAUCAUCGGGGCCCGACCUUUGGAUCUCCUUGGGGGAAGAUGUUCCUUGUGGGACAGGACGCGCAAAACCCUGGUUUUCUGCUUGGGGAGGAGUACUGUGGUCUUUGGCCGGCUUUUCAUCCCGGCCAAUACCCC